CCUAAGAGAUACGUGUUAUGUGCAGUGCUCACACAGAUUGUCUGAUGAAGAACGAGCAAAAGCGCGUCUGCGAAGCUGACUGAAGUCCCCUUCGUCUAGAGGCCUAGGACACCGCCCUUUCACGGCGGUAACAGGGGUUCGAAUCCCCUAGGGGACGCCAAUUGCGCGGUAUGAGUGAAAGGCGUACCACACUAUAGUCUGAUGCAAGUCAGAGAAUAGUUAAGAUAAUUCGUAUGAGUUAUUUUACCUAUUAUGCUCUUUAACAAUCUGGAACAAGCUGAAAAAUUGAAAACAAAUCAAUAUAUCACCGAGGUAUAUUGAUGAGUCUCUCAAAAUCUCAGACCUUGAAGUGUGACACUCCAAGACAUUUGUCCUCGAGAAGAAACAUCUUCGGGUUGUGA
RNAcentral lists this unclassified non-coding RNA (401 nucleotides) under Proteus vulgaris. Its description in RNAcentral is "partial 16S-23S ribosomal RNA intergenic spacer". The stretch from base 85 to 157 matches the Rfam family "tRNA". The record is from RNAcentral. Lineage: Bacteria; Pseudomonadati; Pseudomonadota; Gammaproteobacteria; Enterobacterales; Morganellaceae.